UAUGCCGGAGUCUGUGGGCAGGU
Molecule: non-coding RNA, 23 nt
Filed under: Arabidopsis thaliana (thale cress)
Lineage: Eukaryota; Viridiplantae; Streptophyta; Magnoliopsida; Brassicales; Brassicaceae
Source: RNAcentral